UCUCUCCCCUCUAAUCCCCCCUUAGCCGUCCCUUCUCGGCUUUGGUUGUCAUUGUCUACUUGAAGAGAACUAUGACACUGAAGCGAGAUGGUACGGCGAGGGGAGGAGGAAGAGGGAGGG
This 120-nucleotide microRNA precursor is filed under the name Pristionchus pacificus. Its description in RNAcentral is "microRNA ppc-mir-63a precursor". Its record names the gene ppc-mir-63a. Lineage: Eukaryota; Metazoa; Nematoda; Chromadorea; Rhabditida; Neodiplogasteridae. The record is from miRBase by way of RNAcentral.